ACGUAUCGAUAACUCGGUCCGGUAGAGCAUGAGACUCCUAAUCUCAGGGUUGCGGGUUUGAACCCCAUUUUGCGCA
Non-coding RNA from Podarcis lilfordi (Lilford's wall lizard), 76 nucleotides. The record is from the annotation of a GenBank genome assembly. NCBI's taxonomy places the organism in Eukaryota, Metazoa, Chordata, Lepidosauria, Squamata, Lacertidae.